RNAcentral lists this ribosomal RNA (465 nucleotides) under uncultured bacterium. RNAcentral's name for it is "partial 16S ribosomal RNA". It matches the Rfam family "Bacterial small subunit ribosomal RNA", at positions 28 to 507 of the family's 1533-position model. The record is from RNAcentral.
GACGAACGCUGGCGGCGUGCUUAACACAUGCAAGUCGAACGGAAAGGCCCUGCUUGCAGGGUACUCGAGUGGCGAACGGGUGAGUAACACGUGGGUGAUCUGCCCUGCACUUCGGGAUAAGCCUGGGAAACUGGGUCUAAUACCGGAUAGGAGCCAUUUUUAGUGUGAUGGUUGGAAAGUUUUUUCGGUGUAGGAUGAGCUCGCGGCCUAUCAGCUUGUUGGUGGGGUAAUGGCCUACCAAGGCGGCGACGGGUAGCCGGCCUGAGAGGGUGGACGGCCACAUUGGGACUGAGAUACGGCCCAGACUCCUACGGGAGGCAGCAGUGGGGAAUAUUGCACAAUGGGCGCAAGCCUGGUGCAGCGACGCCGCGGGGGGGAUGACGGCCUUCGGGUUGUAAACUCCUUUCGCUAGGGACGAAGCUUUUUGUGACGGUACCUAGAUAAGAAGCACCGGCUAACUACGUG